UAUGUUAUUUGGGCCUUUUUCAAAAAAUGUGGAUUUUCUUGUACAAUCAAUAUUUCUAAAAAAGUGUAAAUAUUUUUAUCCAAUUUUUAGAUACACAAUUUAGUUGUUGGUGUGUGUAACAAGUUCCAGCAAAUUCAAUAUGAAAUUUAGCUACAGAAAUUGCUUCCAGUGGGUUUCAAAGGGUCCAAAAACCCCAAAAUUGCUUGUACGAAAUUGAAAAACUAGUCUUUUUUAAAUGCUGGUUUUAAUACCCAGCUGAAAUUAAUAUUUUUCUUUUGUUAUUAUAAAUAUAUAGGUAUCACUGCAGGUAUGUAUACACAAAUACAGGGAAUUAUUAGAUUUUAUUAGCAUUUUUUUUUACUUUUCAUUUCGUACUUAAAAAAAUGUCAACUACAUAACACAAAUGAAAUAAUGUUGCCAAUAAACAACUGAUUAUAUCCCUUGUAACUAAGGAAGUGCUCUCUACUUACUCUUCAUCCUCUGAUGACGUGCUUAAAGUUACAGGAUGACAUCAUUGAUUCAUUUCAUUAUAGAUUAGUUUUAGUGAGUACAAAUUACUCCGUAAUUUUAUUCUAUGUCAACUUUGUAACGGCAAAAACAUUGAUAAAUUUUGGCAUAAAUAUGUUUUUUUACAUAAAUUAUUCAAAGUCUGUAAUACUGACUCUAAUUGAAUAAAAACCAUUUAUCUGGUAGUAUUAGGGUCAAGAAAAACAUCCAAAAACCACAAAUAGGUCAACUACAUAACGGUCAACUACAUAACGCAGUGAAUCGUUAUGUAGUUGACAAAAAGCGUUAUGUAGUUGACAAUGCUGAAUUAAAUUCACUUUAAAAUAUGUUUCUAAAAAGUGUUAUUUUAACCAUGUUAACUGUUUUGAAAAAAGUGUGAUGAUUUUUAUGGAAAUAUAUAU
Molecule: long non-coding RNA, 908 nt
Filed under: Mytilus galloprovincialis (Mediterranean mussel)
Lineage: Eukaryota; Metazoa; Mollusca; Bivalvia; Mytilida; Mytilidae
Source: RNAcentral